AGUGAACGCUGGCGGUAGGCCUAACACAUGCAAGUCGAACGGCAGCACAGUAAGAGCUUGCUCUUACGGGUGGCGAGUGGCGGACGGGUGAGGAAUACAUCGGAAUCUACUUUUUCGUGGGGGAUAACGUAGGGAAACUUACGCUAAUACCGCAUACGACCUACGGGUGAAAGCAGGGGAUCUUCGGACCUUGCGCGAUUGAAUGAGCCGAUGUCGGAUUAGCUAGUUGGCGGGGUAAAGGCCCACCAAGGCGACGAUCCGUAGCUGGUCUGAGAGGAUGAUCAGCCACACUGGAACUGAGACACGGACCAGGCUCCUACGGGAGGCAGCAGUGGGGAAUGUUGGACAAUGGGCGCAAGCCUGAUCCAGCCAUACCGCGUGGGUGAAGAAGGCCUUCGGGUUGUAAAGCCCUUUUGUUGGGAAAGAAAAGCAGCAGGUUAAUACCCCGCUGUUCUGACGGUACCCAAAGAAUAAGCACCGGCUAACUUCGUG
This 492-nucleotide ribosomal RNA is filed under the name uncultured bacterium. RNAcentral's name for it is "partial 16S ribosomal RNA". It matches the Rfam family "Bacterial small subunit ribosomal RNA", at positions 29 to 507 of the family's 1533-position model. The record is from RNAcentral.